This 256-nucleotide ribosomal RNA is filed under the name uncultured bacterium. RNAcentral describes it as "partial 16S ribosomal RNA". It matches the Rfam family "Bacterial small subunit ribosomal RNA", at positions 521 to 776 of the family's 1533-position model. The record is from RNAcentral.
UAAUACGUAGGGUGCGAGCGUUGUCCGGAAUUACUGGGCGUAAAGAGCUCGUAGGUGGUUUGUCGCGUUGUUCGUGAAAACUCACAGCUUAACUGUGGGCGUGCGGGCGAUACGGGCAGACUGGAGUACUGCAGGGGAGACUGGAAUUCCUGGUGUAGCGGUGGAAUGCGCAGAUAUCAGGAGGAACACCGGUGGCGAAGGCGGGUCUCUGGGCAGUAACUGACGCUGAGGAGCGAAAGCGUGGGGAGCGAACAGG